GAUCAUACAAAUGAAUUGCAUCUAGACUAGCAUUUACUGAUACCUUAUGUACUACAAUUUAGUAACCGGCAAAAGAGAAGAAACCAGUUUUUAUUGAUUUCAGAUCUUAUCGUGGGGCUGGAGCGUUUCCUGAACUAAAAGAAUAUAAAAUUUUCUAUCUUAGAUUUCUGAAUCAUUGCAACUGACAUCUCAAUGGGAGCUUAAACUUCAGUGCAUGCCAACACUAAGCCAGUGGCUGCAAGGGAAGUACUUAUCACAGAACAACCUCAUUCCAGCUCAAUGAAAUCCGAGAGUUGUCUAAACAGCAACGAAAGUGUCUUGGUAAUGAAAGUGGUUCUUGAUCAAGUCAAUGGAAAACGCAGAAUAAAACAUUUGAUGCGGAAACGAUGCUCUUCCUAUCAAUGUCAUUAAUUAAAUGCUUGCAUAAUGAUAACUGUACUUUUAAAGAAAACUGAUUGAUUGAUCUUUGCGUCUGCCCAAGAAAAACUUUACACGACUGCUGUUCAAAGAAAAAUUCAGGAAGUUCAGACAUUCUGGAGCUUGGCAAGUUGUGCUUGGCGCUGUCCUAAAUGGAAUGCUGUAACUAUCC
RNAcentral lists this unclassified non-coding RNA (589 nucleotides) under Hevea brasiliensis (rubber tree). The record is from RNAcentral. Lineage: Eukaryota; Viridiplantae; Streptophyta; Magnoliopsida; Malpighiales; Euphorbiaceae.